UACGAAGGGUGCAAGCGUUACUCGGAAUUACUGGGCGUAAAGCGUGCGUAGGCGGUUUGUUAAGUCCGCUGUGAAAGCCCUGGGCUCAACCUGGGAAUUGCAGUGGAUACUGGCAAGCUAGAGUGCGGCAGAGGAUGGUGGAAUUCCCGGUGUAGCGGUGAAAUGCGUAGAGAUCGGGAGGAACACCCGUGGCGAAGGCGGCCAGCUGGACCAGCACUGACGCUGAGGCACGAAAGCGUGGGGAGCAAACAGG
This 253-nucleotide ribosomal RNA is filed under the name uncultured bacterium. RNAcentral's name for it is "partial 16S ribosomal RNA". It matches the Rfam family "Bacterial small subunit ribosomal RNA", at positions 524 to 776 of the family's 1533-position model. The record is from RNAcentral.